GCUUACGGCCACACCACCCCGAAUGUGCCCGAUCUUGUUUGAUCUCAGAUAGUAAGCAGUGUCGGGCCUGUUUAGUACUUGGAUGGGAGAUUCCCUGGGGAUACCAGGUGCUGUAAGCU
This 119-nucleotide ribosomal RNA is filed under the name Amphilophus citrinellus (Midas cichlid). The record is from RNAcentral. Lineage: Eukaryota; Metazoa; Chordata; Actinopteri; Cichliformes; Cichlidae.